RNAcentral lists this ribosomal RNA (484 nucleotides) under Segatella copri. RNAcentral describes it as "partial 23S ribosomal RNA". It matches the Rfam family "Bacterial large subunit ribosomal RNA", at positions 1406 to 1893 of the family's 2925-position model. Lineage: Bacteria; Pseudomonadati; Bacteroidota; Bacteroidia; Bacteroidales; Prevotellaceae. The record is from RNAcentral.
ACGGCGAUGGCGAUGGCAGAGACGGUUAAUAUUCCGUCACUGCCGCAUGGGGCGACGUGGAGACGGAGCAGUGAAACCACCGCGGGGCGACGGAAGUCCCCGUUGAAGAGUGUAGGUGUUGAGGAUGGCAGGCAAAUCCACCAUCCGAGCUGAACUUGACAGUACGGAGUCCUCCUCGGAGGAAUCUGAUAGUGUGGGUAAUCAUACUCCCGAGAAAAUCCGCUAAGCUUAACCCAUGCGGCACCCGUACCGCAAACGGACACACGUGGUCGGGUAGAACAUACUAAGGCGUUGAGAGAUUCAUGGUUAAGGAACUAGGCAAAUUGACCCUGUAACUUCGGGAUAAAGGGUCCUCGUGAUGAGCGAGGCGCAGAGAAUAGGUCCAGGCAACUGUUUAACAAAAACACAGGGCUGUGCAAACUCGAAAGAUGACGUAUACAGCCUGACACCUGCCCGGUGCCGGAAGGUUAAGAGGAGAUGUCAC